AAAAUGAAAACGAGAAGAAAAGCCCAAGGAAAUGAAAGAAAAUCAUCAGAGAGAGAAAUGAAAUGGCGUCUGCUUCCUUCUCCCAUUUCUCUACUUUCAGAGGUCCCGAAAAAAUCCCCAAUUCCAAAACUCUAAUUUCCAGCUCUAGAUCUCAUUCAUAUCCGUUGCUGGUCUCAUCUCCCUUCGCUCACUUUCGAUCUCAUCAUCAUCAUCAGAUCUCUAGAAGCUUAUCUGCAUCGGUCUCCACGCAGCAGCAGAUCCGCACGAGCUCGGACGAUCUUGUUUCUUCGAUUCUUUCCAAGUAGAGUUGGCUACAGAAAGUUCAGAUGAGAAUGCAAACAAGGAGCGAUCAGAGAGGGUUUUCCAGAUGACUGAAAUUGAUGAUAUGCAGGCCCCUCGUGACCUUUUGCUUGCACAACUUUUAUUAAGGUUUGAUUCAUCAUCCUGAGUUGUUUGUAGUUUUUUUGACAACUUAAAUAUCUAAACAUGUUUGUUGACACUUAAAUAUCUAAAUAGUUUUGUUGACAACUUUUAUAUAGGAUUGCAACUACUAUCAUGUUGAUCAUAUAGUUGUCUUUAGUUGUCUACAUAGUACAUUGCAUUUACACAUGGGCAUUGUGUUGGAUUUAUCUAUUGUACUACAUCUCAUGGCAUGGAUGCCUCUUUUAUGCAUGCGCUCAUUUUACUAAUUAAUGUUCCAAAUGGGGAUCAUCAUCAUUUAAGACUCAUCCAACUAUGAACAUGUUGUGGUCUGAUAAUUAAGCUAGUUGUCUCAUUUACUGGGUCAUACAUGCCUCAUUCAAUGUCCUGCACAAAACAACCCAAAAACUAAAAAUAAAAAUU
This is an RNA transcript of Magnolia sinica, 843 nucleotides long. RefSeq lists it as uncharacterized. The record is from RefSeq and is a predicted model, not a curated record. The transcript has 2 exons. Lineage: Eukaryota; Viridiplantae; Streptophyta; Magnoliopsida; Magnoliales; Magnoliaceae.